CCAUGAGGUUUCAAAGAGUUGGAUAUGACCGAGAGACUUUCACUAUUCAUAUAACCUUGAAACCAUCACCACCAUUAAGGCCGUGAACAUAGUCAUCACCUCCUAAAGUUUCCUCCUGCCUCUAUUAUUAUUAUUUGUGGUGGAGUUAUUGCCACUUCCUAUAGAGAUUGGAACAUAAAGAGGUUGUUUGCUCAAACUCUGAAGACUUUGGGAGCCCAGACUAAGUUUGCUCCUGCUGCUUUGAACACACUUUGGCAGCAGGCUUCACUGAGGCACAAAGGAGUCAAGUGUCUUGACCAGGCCGCAUGGAGAGGUGGUAGCGCAGUCCACCUUGGCAUCUGGGACCAUUAUGACAUUCCAUUAUCUGCUGUCAACACCGGGGCUUCCUGCCUUAGGAAUGCAGCUGCAGCCUUUCGCUGAAAAAUUCGCCUCCUUUCACAUAGAAGGCAUAAUUAAGAACACAGCUGCAAAUUGGCUCUUCUCAACAAUUUUCCCUGCUGUCCCAUAAAAUGUGAAAAAUAUGGGCCGGUACAUUGAUUAGACAGACUCUUGGGGCUGAAUUGUGUGUAAUCUAUCCACUUCUGGCACUUUGAAAUAAGUUUUUUUGCUCUUCCAUUGGAAAUUAAAGGAAAAAACAGAAAAUACCAGUAGCCUGGGUGUUUCUUGGUUGGGCACUUCACGGACACAGUGAGAGGAUGUAAUCAGCUCACAUCCUCAUUUGAGUUUGUAACACACACAAAUACACACACACAUACACUUUGUCUUGAUGAUGACACAGUAUAAGUUUCUUGGCAAAUAUUGAUCUAUUUAUUUCCUCUGUGAAUUUUUUGACUGAAGAAACUUUGAAGCAGCUUGUCACUUUCUUUUUUUUUGCUCUGCCACCUCUGUCUGAUGAGGGAGAAGAAAUCUAGGUUGGGUGUAUUGUACUCUCCAGGGGUCUAUUAGUGUUAUUUUAGUGGUAUUGUAUUAAGGACUGGACUUACUGUGUGCACUGGAAUCAGGUUCAAUUUCCAGACCCACCCUUUAAGCCCUGAGACCUUCAUCAAUUAG
Molecule: long non-coding RNA, 1050 nt
Organism: Odocoileus virginianus texanus
Lineage: Eukaryota; Metazoa; Chordata; Mammalia; Artiodactyla; Cervidae
Source: RefSeq, a predicted model, not a curated record